CAAUAGCGUAUAUUAAAGUUGUUGCAGUUAAAAAGCUCGUAGUUGAAUUUCUGGCGGGCGCGCCGGUCUUCCAAGUGUUGUACUGGGCGCAGUCCGCCAUCCUUGUGGAGAGGGCUCGCAUUGAGUUGCGUGUCGGAUCUGCAUCAUUUACUGUGAAAAAAUUAGAGUGUUUAAAGCAGGCUGUCGCUUGAAUACAUUAGCAUGGAAUAAUAAGAUAGGACUUCGGUCUAUUUUGUUGGUUGCGAACCGAGGUAAUGAUUAAUAGGGAUAGUUGGGGGUAUUCAUAUUUAAUUGUCAGAGGUGAAAUUCUUGGAUUUAUGAAAGAUGAACAACUGCGAAAGCACUUACCAAGGAUGUUUUCAUUAA
Molecule: ribosomal RNA, 366 nt
Filed under: uncultured eukaryote
Lineage: Eukaryota
Description: partial 18S ribosomal RNA
Rfam family: Eukaryotic small subunit ribosomal RNA
Source: RNAcentral